GACGAACGCUGGCGGCGUGCUUAACACAUGCAAGUCGAGCGGAAAGGCCCUUUCGGGGGUACUCGAGCGGCGAACGGGUGGGUAACACGUGAGUAAUCUGCCCCUGGCUUUGGGAUAGCCACCGGAAACGGUGAUUAAUACCGAUACGACCACUUCUCGCAUGGGAUGGUGGUGGGAAGUUUUUCGGCCAGGGAUGUGCUCGCGGCCUAUCAGCUUGAUGGUGAGGUAAUGGCUCACCAUGGCUUCGACGGGUAGCCGGCCUGAGAGGGUGACCGGUCACACUGGGACUGAGACACGGCCCAGACUCCUACGGGAGGCAGCAGUGGGGAAUAUUGGACAAUGGGCGGAAGCCUGAUCCAGCAACGCCGCGUGAGGGAUGACGGCCUUCGGGUUGUAAACCUCUUUCAGCAGGGACGAAGCGCAAGUGACGGUACCUGCAGAAGAAGCACCGGCCAACUACGUGCCAGCAGCCGCCGCCG
Molecule: ribosomal RNA, 479 nt
Filed under: uncultured bacterium
Lineage: Bacteria
Description: partial 16S ribosomal RNA
Rfam family: Bacterial small subunit ribosomal RNA
Source: RNAcentral